RNAcentral lists this ribosomal RNA (253 nucleotides) under uncultured bacterium. RNAcentral's name for it is "partial 16S ribosomal RNA". It matches the Rfam family "Bacterial small subunit ribosomal RNA", at positions 524 to 776 of the family's 1533-position model. The record is from RNAcentral.
GACGUAGGGCGCGAGCGUUGUCCGGAUUUAUUUGGCGUAAAGAGUUCGUAGGUGGCUUGUCGCGUCGACCGUGAAAACUCGCAGCUCAACUGCGAGCCUGCGGUCGAUACGGGCAGGCUAGAGUUCGGUAGGGGAGACUGGAAUUCCUGGUGUAGCGGUGAAAUGCGCAGAUAUCAGGAGGAACACCGAUGGCGAAGGCAGGUCUCUGGGCCGAUACUGACGCUGAGGAGCGAAAGCGUGGGGAGCGAACAGG